Long non-coding RNA from Helianthus annuus (common sunflower), 403 nucleotides. RefSeq lists it as uncharacterized. The transcript has 3 exons. The record is from RefSeq and is a predicted model, not a curated record. Lineage: Eukaryota; Viridiplantae; Streptophyta; Magnoliopsida; Asterales; Asteraceae.
GUGUGUGUGUCUGGUCGAAUACAUCAGGAACCAAGAAGGAGCUCUUGCCAAAACACUAAACACAUAAAUUUGAGUAAAUUCAAGAGGAAUCAAGCAUAGACAUUUGGGGUUUUAACUAAAAUCGUGAUCAACUAGCUUAGGGGAUCACAAGGCAAGGAGGUUGAAUCUUCAAGCGGUCAAGUUGGAGCGGACGCGCGCUUGAAGGAUAAGCUUUGAAAGGUGAAUGACAUAGGCCUCCGGAUGAAGAUCAAGCGACGAAUAAGAACCGAACACACGUCUAAAUGAAGCUUCCGCAUUUGAUCUUGUUUUGUUUUAUAAAAAGUGAAUUAUGUAAACACCUAUAACCAUGUUUUUGAAUGUUUUAAACAUGUCUAAAUAUUUAUGAUGUAAAAGUUUCUAUUAA